AUUGAACGCUGGCGGAAUGCUUUACACAUGCAAGUCGAACGGUAGAGGGGGCAACCCCUCGAGAGUGGCGAACGGGUGAGUAAUAUAUCGGAACGUGCCCAGUCGUGGGGGAUAACGUAGCGAAAGUUACGCUAAUACCGCAUACGAUCUAAGGAUGAAAGCGGGGGAUCGAAAGACCUCGCGCGAUUGGAGCGGCCGAUAUCGGAUUAGGUAGUUGGUGGGGUAAAGGCUCACCAAGCCAACGAUCUGUAGCUGGUCUGAGAGGACGACCAGCCACACUGGAACUGAGACACGGUCCAGACUCCUACGGGAGGCAGCAGUGGGGAAUUUUGGACAAUGGACGCAAGUCUGAUCCAGCCAUUCCGCGUGCAGGAUGAAGGCCCUCGGGUUGUAAACUGCUUUUGUACGGAACGAAAAGGUCUCUCUUAAUACGGGGGACUCAUGACGGUACCGUAAGAAUAAGCACCGGCUAACUACGUGCCAGCCGCCGCCGUAA
This 496-nucleotide ribosomal RNA is filed under the name uncultured bacterium. RNAcentral describes it as "partial 16S ribosomal RNA". It matches the Rfam family "Bacterial small subunit ribosomal RNA", at positions 30 to 523 of the family's 1533-position model. The record is from RNAcentral.